UAAGGAAUAUUGGACAAUGGAGGCAACUCUGAUCCAGCCAUGCCGCGUGAAGGAAUAAGGCCCUAUGGGUUGUAAACUUCUUUUAGACGGGACAAAACCCCUUUACGUGUAAAGGGUUGAUGGUACUGUCAGAAUAAGCAUCGGCUAACUUCGUGCCAGCAGCCGCGGUAAUACGAAGGAUGCAAGCGUUAUCCGGAAUUAUUGGGUUUAAAGGGUGCGUAGGCGGACUAAUAAGUAAGUGGUGAAAGCCUGCAGCUUAACUGCAGAAUGGCAAUUGAUACUGUUAGUCUUGAGUACAGUUGAGGUAGGCGGAAUGUGUCAUGUAGCGGGGAAAUGCUUAGAUAUGACACAGAACACCGAUUGCGAAGGCAGCUUGCUAAGCUGUAACUGACGCUGAGGCACGAAA
This 406-nucleotide ribosomal RNA is filed under the name uncultured bacterium. Its description in RNAcentral is "bacterial SSU rRNA". It matches the Rfam family "Bacterial small subunit ribosomal RNA", at positions 355 to 758 of the family's 1533-position model. The record is from RNAcentral.